AUACCUACCUGGUAGGGGAGAUACCAUGAUCACGAAUGUGGUUUUCCCAGGGCGAGGCUUAUCCAUUGCACUCUGGAUGUGCUGACCCUGCAAUUUCCCCAAAUGAGGGAAACUGUACUGCAUAAUUUGUGGUAGUGAGGGACUGUGUUCACACUCUCCCCUG
This 163-nucleotide small nuclear RNA is filed under the name Castor canadensis (American beaver). Its description in RNAcentral is "U1 spliceosomal RNA (ENSCCNG00000001774.1)". It matches the Rfam family "U1 spliceosomal RNA". Rfam says of the family: U1 is a small nuclear RNA (snRNA) component of the spliceosome (involved in pre-mRNA splicing). Its 5' end forms complementary base pairs with the 5' splice junction, thus defining the 5' donor site of an intron. Lineage: Eukaryota; Metazoa; Chordata; Mammalia; Rodentia; Castoridae. The record is from Rfam by way of RNAcentral.